GCCACUGACUGUCCGUUUGAUCUACAACCACCAAACUACCACUUUCCCCUUGAUUUAUAAUCGCAGUGCCACUAUCUUCUUGAUCUAUACAAUCAAACUAGUGAAACUACAACUUUUCCCUUGAUCUACAAUUAAACUGACACUACCUUCUUGAUCUACAACCAAACUACCACUUUUCCCUUCAUCUACAAUAAAACUGACACUAUCUUCUUCAUCUACAAUCAAACUACCACUAUCCCCUUCAUCUAUCAAAACUGACACUAUCUUCCUGAUCUAUAAUCUCAAUGGCAAUAUCUUCUUCUACAUUUUCUUUUCCUCUACUUAAUCAUGCUCUUUUCUUUUCUCAUGUUUUGUUUCUUCUUCCUUUUGCUCAUUUGUUCUGCCAUACUUAUAUCAUUAAAUGAUAUCUGGUUUAGCCUAAAAUAUCCUUAAAGAUAUUAUUUUGCAGUGUGCAUUAAAGCGAUAUUUUUUGUCAAGAGACCAGUUUCGUUAACAUUUGUAUAGUUGUAUUGGAAAAAAAAAUUGCAUGCGAGAAGACAUAUUUAAAAAAAAACAUGCAUACACAGCUGACAACCUGGAAAAAA
Paramuricea clavata is the source of this 584-nucleotide non-coding RNA. NCBI's taxonomy places the organism in Eukaryota, Metazoa, Cnidaria, Anthozoa, Malacalcyonacea, Plexauridae. The record is from the annotation of a GenBank genome assembly.